Bos mutus (wild yak) is the source of this 1907-nucleotide long non-coding RNA. The record is from Ensembl. Lineage: Eukaryota; Metazoa; Chordata; Mammalia; Artiodactyla; Bovidae.
UUAAAAGAAAGAAAGAAGGAUGAAACAAGGAGGCAGAAACAGGUCAAGGAACUUUUCGGUGUGUCAGGAGAUGAAACAGCCUGGGGCCAACAGACACGACUCUCUGACCCUCGGUUUCUUCUUCAGCUGGAGGGAAAUUCACUCCUGUGGAGCCUGGGCUGGGCCAUCGCUGUGACAGCACUGUCACCUGGAUCCUCAUCGGAUCCUCACUGCACCUCUGAGAGCAGAGCCGCCUUCACACCAGCUGCACACAGCCUCCUGUUGGCUUGUUCCUGGGGCUUAAACCUAACUGAGCAGUGUUGUUCUAAGUUGCAGAGAUCAAAGACCUGGACAGCAACCUUUACCCCAUUGGCCAGAGCAACAUCAGCAAGUCAGGCAGAGGGUGUGUGCGGUUUAUUGAAGAGAUGCACAGCUGGUGGCUGCAUCUGCAGAGCUGAGAACAACUGGAUCUUGUUCACACUCAGGCAGAGGAAGACUCCUGGGGUGAAGCCACACCUCCUUCUAGCCUGACACGGACAAGGAGCUGAAAGGAGAUCUCUGAGAUCCUGCUAUUGCCAUGAACCCAAAAGACCUCCGGGACUGCUCAGGUAGUCAGCUGUUGCUUGUUUGGGUGGUUCCUACUUAUGACCCAGAACUGAGAUGCUGCCAACUAUCCGAAUUAACCUAGAGAAGAAUCAAGAAUCAGAAGGGAAUAGAUAAGCAUCCUCGUGUCCAUGGAGGCCAAGGGGACUUCCCCCACCCUGGGGUCUGUCCCAUAGCCUCCUUUCUGGCCCUCUUCUCUGGGAGCCAUGGCCAAGGUGCUUGGUUUCUCCCUCCUGGUCCCUCAGAUCCCAGCUCAUGACUCAGAAGUGAGGCCAGAACAGCCCACAGCCAGAGAGGACAGCAGAUGGAGUCCCCAAGACCAGACAGGGCAGGGAGUGGAGGUCCCGCAGCAUCCCUGAAGCUUCUCCUGCCCUCUCUCUUGGUCCGAGACUCCUCGUGCUCCCAAACCCUGGGGCAUCACCACAGAGGCUGUUUCCUCCAACUCUUGCCCUGUCGCCUGCCCAGCUGCUCUGCAAGGAUCAGCGGACCCUGAACUGAACCCCAGUCUGGCCUUUGUCGCCUCCCCUUUGUGUGACCUGGAGCACAGUUAUCUGACCUCACCUGUAAAAUGAGAAGAAUAUUUCCCUAUAUUGUUAUGAGGAUGAAAUGUAAUGUGCUCUGUGGCCUGGGCCACACAGUAGGUCCUGCUGAGUAUGGAACUGUCCCCUCUACCUAGACUGUGUUAGAUGCAGGUGGAAAACUCCCCCCUCGCCCUCCAUGCUGUGUCACCACACCCGCCCAGGGAUCUCAUAUAUAAGCAUGUGCUUACCAGGUCUGUGAAGAAAGCUGGGCACUGAAGAAUUGAUGCUUUUGAAGUAUGGUGUUGGAGAAGACUCUUGAGAGUCCCUUGGACUGCAAGGAGAUCCAACCAGUCCAUCCUAAAGGAGAUCAGUCCUGGGUGUUCAUUGGAAGGACUGAUGUUAAAGCUGAAACUCCAAUACUUUGGCCACCUCACACGAAGAGCUGACUCAUUGGAAAAGAACCUGAUGCUGGGAGGGAUUGGGAGCAGGAGGAGAAGGGGAUGACAGAGGAUGAGAUGGCUGGAUGGCAUCACCGAGUCAAUGGACAUGAGUUUGAGUGAACUCCAGGAGUUGGUUUUCGACAGGGAGGCCUGGCGGGCUGUGAUUCAUGGGGUCGCAAAGAGUCAGACAUGACUGAGCAACUGACCUGAAUUCAACUGAACUGAACCAGGUCUGAUACCUCAGGCAGGUACUGGCUCUACUGAUCUCAAACACCUCUGCAGAUAACCAAGUUCUCUGUCAUUUCCCACACCCACCCACACCCCAAUCAAUAAACAAACAGAUUUAGUGCUCUGGGAUCCCUCC